Molecule: antisense RNA, 719 nt
Filed under: Pongo abelii (Sumatran orangutan)
Lineage: Eukaryota; Metazoa; Chordata; Mammalia; Primates; Hominidae
Rfam family: ZNFX1 antisense RNA 1 conserved region 3 (bases 36-112)
Source: RNAcentral
CGUGCAGACAUCUACAACCUUCGAUCUCUUGACGAGUUUAUUGUUGGCUAAAACCAACCAGGAUGAAUGCGGGCGUUGGAAGUAGAAUAUAUACAUAUACAUAUAAAAUUGGUAAGUGGUGCCAACACGUCUUCCUUGGCUGAGUAGACACAGGCUCUGGAGGGGGUAGUAGCUGCUUUUCAGUGUGAGUUUGUCACCCUACUUCUGUACGACUCAAAUGUGGCCUUUGCAGCUGAUGAUACAAAAUCUUUCCCCAUCAGAUCGACCCUGUUGAUCUCUACACUAUUGGCCAGUUUUGUCUGAUGCAUUGGCCCCAGUAGUAACUCCUGUCUUUGUUUUCUUCUUAUCUUUAUCAGAGACUAUUGCUUGUUCAUGGGAACUGGGCUUACUCUAUUUUUUCCAGCAUUCAGAUGGCUUAUUUUGACCUGUUAACUUUCUAUAGGUUGGGAGCCACGUGUACCAGUGUGUUGAUCUUGGCUUGAUUCAGUCUGCCUAGUAACAGGUGAGGUUUCUGCUUUCUAGCUGUCAAACCCCACAGCAAAAUUUGUCCAACUGGGCCUAACCUCAGGACCCAUUUCCAAGUUGGGUAUAAAACUGGACUGGACAGUCAUUAGGACUGACAUUGGCCUGUUGGUAUUGAUAGGUCUUUGUUGGAAAUAAGAGCUUGGAGUCGCAAAGAAAACGAGCACUCGAACAAAAGAUUUCUCAGCAAGGCAAAU